GCUUUCUGUAAAUAACUUUCUGACCAGCAGGUCUCAAGGACUAACUCUACAAAGCCAUUGAAAUGUAACGAUUCCCCCUGUUUUCAGUGGGAGCAAAAGGGAAUUACUGUUAUUUAGACCUUUCUUUGAGCCUGACUGUCUGUGUGCAUCGUGUUUCCUAUUGCUAAGAGAAAGGAAAGCUCAGUUCCUUGUCUUCCAGAGGGAUCAAAAGCCUCAUGGAUGAGUGUCUGCAAAGGACUUUUGGGCUUCCAAGGGAAGAACAAAGCACCAAUAAGGGGUAGUAUUGGCAAUAGCACACCCACAUUCUUCACACGAACUGAAAUACUGGCUGAUCCCUCAAAAGUCAUAAUGACUGUGCUCCAGGGAGGAAAAAUAACACAGCCUCCUAAGCCAGUCACUGACCAUGUCCUAGCCAGCAAAGGAGCAGUUCUGAUCCUGUGCAAGGAGAGAGGACGCCCUACCUGUGGCAUUAAAGGAAGGAGCAGACAAGUACUGUCCGUAGAUGAAUGAACCUUAAUAUCAAUAUAAGAUUCUCCUCUUAUGGCUACAUAAAUCCUACUUAAUAUAAGCCCCGAGUUGGUGACAUUUAGGGCUGCAGCUCCAUUUCCCUGUGCAACAGGCAGCUGUAGCCAUGACGCCCAGUGGCUGCACAGACAUGGAAAUUUAGGAUGCUCUGCAUGGGUCACCAUGCAGGGAGACUGAGACUUCUCUCACACAGAGCGACUUAAGGGCCACAUGUUUGGGGGAAGUGACAAUCACCUCAUGGGCCCUGGGCUCCAUUCCUGACUGCUGAUGACUCAUUAGGAAAAUUACUUCAGCUUCCAUUGCUACCUAAUUUCCACUGGAUCUGUUAGUCCAUUCAGGAGCACAGCAACCCCUGCAAGGAAUUGCCAUCCUGGCUUGGGAAUUGCUGCUCCAGAGGUCAUUAGAGAACUUUAUUAAUACUCAUUGCAUUAACCUCCCAGCUAGCCAGUGACAGAAAUGCCAUUUCUCCCAUUCUAUAGCUGAGAAAAAUGAAGCAUAGACAGAUCCAUCACCUGGUUACAGAGUCAAUGGGAAUUCUUAAUGCUCCAUAAAUCUGAAAAUUAGGCUGUCAGCAACUUCUCCUGAGGUGAACCUGCAGCAAAGCUAUCCAGGAGCCCCAGUUCCUACCCAUCAG
Long non-coding RNA from Empidonax traillii (willow flycatcher), 1159 nucleotides. RefSeq lists it as uncharacterized. Lineage: Eukaryota; Metazoa; Chordata; Aves; Passeriformes; Tyrannidae. The record is from RefSeq and is a predicted model, not a curated record. The transcript is spliced from 2 exons.